CCCUUUUUUUGUUUUCGGCUGCUAUAAUGCAGUCGAGCGAACUGAUUAGAAGCUUGCUUCUAUGACGUUAGCGGCGGACGGGUGAGUAACACGUGGGCAACCUGCCUGUAAGACUGGGAUAACUUCGGGAAACCGAAGCUAAUACCGGAUAGGAUCUUCUCCUUCAUGGGAGAUGAUUGAAAGAUGGUUUCGGCUAUCACUUACAGAUGGGCCCGCGGUGCAUUAGCUAGUUGGUGAGGUAACGGCUCACCAAGGCAACGAUGCAUAGCCGACCUGAGAGGGUGAUCGGCCACACUGGGACUGAGACACGGCCCAGACUCCUACGGGAGGCAGCAGUAGGGAAUCUUCCGCAAUGGACGAAAGUCUGACGGAGCAACGCCGCGUGAGUGAUGAAGGCUUUCGGGUCGUAAAACUCUGUUGUUAGGGAAGAACAAGUACGAGAGUAACUGCUCGUACCUUGACGGUACCUAACCAGAAAGCCACGGCUAACUACGUGCCAGCAGCCGCGGUAAUACGUAGGUGGCAAGCGUUAUCCGGAAUUAUUGGGCGUAAAGCGCGCGCAGGCGGUUUCUUAAGUCUGAUGUGAAAGCCCACGGCUCAACCGUGGAGGGUCAUUGGAAACUGGGGAACUUGAGUGCAGAAGAGAAAAGCGGAAUUCCACGUGUAGCGGUGAAAUGCGUAGAGAUGUGGAGGAACACCCAGUGGCGAAGGCGGGCUUUUUGGUCUGUAACUGACGCUGAGGCGCGAAAGCGUGGGGGAGCAAA
RNAcentral lists this ribosomal RNA (764 nucleotides) under Bacillus sp. (in: firmicutes). Its description in RNAcentral is "bacterial SSU rRNA". It matches the Rfam family "Bacterial small subunit ribosomal RNA", at positions 23 to 772 of the family's 1533-position model. The record is from RNAcentral. Lineage: Bacteria; Bacillati; Bacillota; Bacilli; Caryophanales; Bacillaceae.